AAUUUGUAUGAUGGAGAAAGGAAUUGUAAGAUCAAAACUGUUCCUAGACCACACCGAACAUAAUUCUUCACAAAAUUAAAUACCAAUCCUCCAAAACAGAAUAUUCAAAACACCAUAACAAUCCCCAUCCAAUUUGCCUGUGGUUUUCCAUGCAAGACGAGUACCUGAUACUACCUCCAAACCAAAGAACAAUAUUUCAUUUUCUAAUACAUUGACUGUGAAAGUCCAUUCUUAG
This 235-nucleotide unclassified non-coding RNA is filed under the name Hevea brasiliensis (rubber tree). Lineage: Eukaryota; Viridiplantae; Streptophyta; Magnoliopsida; Malpighiales; Euphorbiaceae. The record is from RNAcentral.